This 814-nucleotide ribosomal RNA is filed under the name Streptomyces sp. RNAcentral's name for it is "bacterial SSU rRNA". It matches the Rfam family "Bacterial small subunit ribosomal RNA", at positions 89 to 916 of the family's 1533-position model. Lineage: Bacteria; Bacillati; Actinomycetota; Actinomycetes; Kitasatosporales; Streptomycetaceae. The record is from RNAcentral.
UGAUUAGUGGCGACGGGUGAGUAACACGUGGGCAAUCUGCCCUUCACUCUGGGACAAGCCCUGGAAACGGGGUCUAAUACCGGAUAAUACUCCUGCCUGCAUGGGUGGGGGUUGAAAGCUCCGGCGGUGAAGGAUGAGCCCGCGGCCUAUCAGCUUGUUGGUGGGGUAAUGGCCCACCAAGGCGACGACGGGUAGCCGGCCUGAGAGGGCGACCGGCCACACUGGGACUGAGACACGGCCCAGACUCCUACGGGAGGCAGCAGUGGGGAAUAUUGCACAAUGGGCGAAAGCCUGAUGCAGCGACGCCGCGUGAGGGAUGACGGCCUUCGGGUUGUAAACCUCUUUCAGCAGGGAAGAAGCGAAAGUGACGGUACCUGCAGAAGAAGCGCCGGCUAACUACGUGCCAGCAGCCGCGGUAAUACGUAGGGCGCAAGCGUUGUCCGGAAUUAUUGGGCGUAAAGAGCUCGUAGGCGGCUUGUCACGUCGGAUGUGAAAGCCCGAGGCUUAACCUCGGGUCUGCAUUCGAUACGGGCUAGCUAGAGUGUGGUAGGGGAGAUCGGAAUUCCUGGUGUAGCGGUGAAAUGCGCAGAUAUCAGGAGGAACACCGGUGGCGAAGGCGGAUCUCUGGGCCAUUACUGACGCUGAGGAGCGAAAGCGUGGGGAGCGAACAGGAUUAGAUACCCUGGUAGUCCACGCCGUAAACGUUGGGAACUAGGUGUUGGCGACAUUCCACGUCGUCGUGCCGCAGCUAACGCAUUAAGUUCCCCGCCUGGGGGAGUACGGCCGCAAGGCUAAAACUCAAAGGAAUUGACGG